GGGGGCGCGGGGUGUGAGUGAGCAGCGAUCCUGUGUCCCAGGUAAUGACGCUAUUAGAGCAGCAGGCCUCACACAUCUUCCUCAGUCUACCAGUUGGGUAAAGCAGCGUGGAAUUUCACCGAGGGACCUCAGUGGACACCCGGGACGGAGUAGUGACUAGGAGUCUGCAUCGGAGGACUUUACCCGCUGAUGCCUUGGAGGUCCGAGUCCCUGGAAGAGCCUUCUUGGUCUGCAGAGGGAACAGCAGCAUUGGAAAAGCAGCUGCCACUGAACUAGCCAAGCAAGACCAUUUUUCUAUAUAUUAUGAACUUGUCUGAUCCCAGAAAAUCUGUAAAUUUGCUGAAAAUUUCAAGCAGGAACAUAAACUCUGUGUUCUGGUGAACUUUGUAAAUUGUCUCCAGUAUGCUUGCUUCACUCCAUUGAAGGCAAGAGCUGAUUUCCGUCUGAAUGGCAUGGUUCUGACCGAGCAGUGCACCCAGGUGCACCCUGCCACCGCUGUGUCCUUGGUGCAUCCUGGUUGGGCCGACACUCCAGCUUUGCCAUAUCCUUUAAUGGCUGAGCUGCUGUCUCGAAAUAUCUCAGUAGGGGCCGAGGCUGAUGUGUACCGCGGCAACUCACCUGUCGAUCAGAAACCAGUUCUCACACAUCUGCCUUUUGCUAAAGCAUCCUCUUCACCGGCAAGAGAGAUUCUUGAAAUCCUGCAAGAGCUGACUCAGAGAUUUAAACAGCCCAGGCCAGGGGCAGGUAUCAUGGUACAGCAGGUUAAGCCACUGCUUGCUAUACUAUAUCCAUCCCAUGAGUGCCAGUUUGAAUCCCAGCUGCUAUUCGUCCAAUCCAGCUCCUUGCUAAUGCACCUGGGAAAGCAACAGAAGAUAGUUCAAGUGUUUGGCCCCAGCCACCCACGUGGGAAACCUGGAUGGAGUUCCAGGCUCCUGGAUCGGCCUGGCCCAACCCAGACAGGAGUUCUUCAGGUUCAUUCUCAAGUCCUCUUCUACAUCCCCAGCAGGAACACCGUGUGUGCUGUAGGAUUUAGUACCUUCAUGUCUCAGGUCACAUACAGAUCAAGUAUGAAAGUGUGCAAAGUGUUCUGGUGA
Non-coding RNA from Oryctolagus cuniculus (rabbit), 1094 nucleotides. The record is from RefSeq and is a predicted model, not a curated record. NCBI's taxonomy places the organism in Eukaryota, Metazoa, Chordata, Mammalia, Lagomorpha, Leporidae.